Molecule: long non-coding RNA, 1722 nt
Organism: Girardinichthys multiradiatus
Lineage: Eukaryota; Metazoa; Chordata; Actinopteri; Cyprinodontiformes; Goodeidae
Exons: 2
Source: RefSeq, a predicted model, not a curated record
ACAUUAUGGAAAAUAAUUAACUUUAUCACAAUAUGCUAAUAUUUUGAGAAGGACCUGUAUUACCUAGAUUUAGUUUACACUGUGACCACUAGAUGGUGGUAAAUACAAAAAGGUUUCAAAGCUCCACAGCACAGAGCGGAGUGUUUCUGAGAAGACUGCAUAAAUGAUAAAACCUGUUAGAAGUAAAAACUACCACAAACCCAACGCCAAGGCUGGGGAUCUGUUAGUAUCAUGCUGUGGGGAUAAUUGUCAUUUUCUAAAGAACUAGACUGAUACAGGGUUUCACCUUUGAAAAAAAACUAUGUAAAUUCAAAGUAGCUGCUUGAUUUAAAAAAAAAAAAAAGGAAAUCUAACUUUUAUACAUUAUAAGCAGUUAAGAAUAGUUUAGGUCAGAGUUUGAUCUUUGUUUCUUAGUAUUGAAUGUUUAUAGUGAAGCUGUUCAUGUCAGUCUUCUAAUAAUAAAAAAGAGGAACUACCAGUUUCUGUUCUCACCUUCACACACAUUUAGCUCCUUAAUAUAACCAACACCCAGCUAACUACAGAUAUGCUUCACAAGGAGUCAUUUUUUCCUUUUUAUUGUUUUACAUGUAAAUAAAUAAUAAAAUGCUAAAUAUAACAAAAGAAAACAAAGUGAGUUAUUUAUAAAAACACAUUGAUAUGUCCACAGCUUUUCUAACAAGAGAUGAUUUAAAACAUUUAAUGAAAACAUGAGAGGUGAGAUACAGUGAGGUCAUUAAGAAGCAACGCCUCACAAACCACACAGGGCGUGUUAUAGAUUUAUAUUUAAAGAUAAUCAGCUUUAGACUCAGUCAUUUGUGACCCAGACAACAAGAUAGACAGAGAGCAGCAGUGGGAACAUUCAGACUGAUUAAAAUGUUUUUCUUUCUGAUUCUUAUUCUUCAGUUUAAAGACAGCAACACUGAAAAUGGAACGUUUCAUGAAGAUGCAUCGACUAAAGCAGAGAGACCGAGAGUUACAUCAGACUCUGGUUAUGAAGAAUAUCAGAGGUGACGAUGUUGGUUCAUACAUCUGCAGAAGACUCAUAUCAGGAGAACAAGGAGCAGAGUCUCAUAUUGACCUGUCUGUUAUUACCGUUGAGUAUUUUCAUCAUGUUUGAGCUCAAUUUGUCAACAACAACAUCAGAUAUUGUAUUUUGAAUGUAUUUCAAAAGUUUUUUGUUAUACUUUUAAUAUAUGUUUGUCUUCACCAGUAUCUGAGCAGAACACCAGUGAUAAAGUGACCGUGUUCUGCAAGGUGAUGGUACCUGGGUACUGUAGAUACUCAGUGAGGUGGCUGUAUAAUGGUCAAGAGACAAAACCCCCUACUGAGUUAUUCAGCCAAAGUCCAUGCUGUCAGCAAACUGUGUACUUCUUCUUAAAUUACCCAGAUGUAGUUUACACUGUGACCACUAGAUGGUGGUAAAACACAAAACGGUUUCAAAGCUGUUAGGAGUAAAAACCAUCAACCCAACACCAAACAUUGAGGUGUUAGUAUCAUGCUGUGGGGAUUGUUGUUAUUUUUCCAAAACACUUAUACACGUUUCACUUUUGAACUUACUAUGCAACUUCAAUGUAGCUGCUUGAAAUAAAAAAAAAGUAAAUCUAACUUUUAUACAUUAUUUGCAGUUAAGAAUAGUUUAAUUCAGAGUUUUUUUAGUAUUGAAUGUUUGUAGUGAAGCUGUUCAUGUCAGUCUUCUAAUAAUAAAAAAGAGGAACUACCAGA